CCUACGGGUGGCAGCAGUGAGGAAUAUUGGUCAAUGGCCGGAAGGCUGAACCAGCCAUGCCGCGUGAAGGUCAGUGCCCUAUGGGCGUUAAACUUCUUUUGUGUGGGAGCAAUAAUGGUCACGUUUGGCCAGACGAGAGUACCGUACGACUAAGCAUCGGCUAACUCCGUGCCAGCAGCCGCUGUAAUACGGGGGAUGCAAGCGUUCUCCGGUUUUAUUGGGUUUAAGGGGUGCUGAGGCUGUGAGGUACGUUAGCGGUGAAAUGCCCCCGCUCAACGGGGUGAAGUGCUCUUGAUACUGACGCGCUGGAAUGCGGAUGCCGUGGGAGGAAUGUGGUGUAGCGGUGAAAGGCAUAGAUAUCACACAGAACACCGAUUGCGAAGGCAUCUCACGAAUCCGCGAUUGACGCUGAUGCACGAAAGCGUGGGUAUCAAACAGGAGUAGAUACCCUUGUAGUC
Molecule: ribosomal RNA, 458 nt
Filed under: uncultured bacterium
Lineage: Bacteria
Description: partial 16S ribosomal RNA
Rfam family: Bacterial small subunit ribosomal RNA
Source: RNAcentral